GCAACAACCAAUUUUAACUUAGAAAUUGUAAAGACCCCAAACAGAAAAACGAAAAGUCAGGAAUCUACAGUAUCCCAGUUGAAAACAUGAGCACAAUUCAAAAAGCCCCUCAUAUAGGGGUCAGUGGCUGCACUCUAAAAGAAAGACUUCAGGAACAUGAAAAAAACAUAAGGAAUGACAACCAUACUGGUGGUGGAAUGCUAUGCAUCAAACAUAAUGAUGGAUUGAGAGCAGCAAAAAUAAUCAAACAAGUACCAAAUAUGAAACAAGGAUUAAUUUCAGAAGUGUUAGAAAUAAUCAAGAGGAAAAAACACAAAAAUAUACUAAACAAAAAAAACAUCAGAAAAUUUACCAACACCAUGGCAGUAUGUAGAGAC
This 377-nucleotide long non-coding RNA is filed under the name Androctonus crassicauda. Lineage: Eukaryota; Metazoa; Arthropoda; Arachnida; Scorpiones; Buthidae. The record is from RNAcentral.